Molecule: ribosomal RNA, 460 nt
Filed under: uncultured bacterium
Lineage: Bacteria
Description: partial 16S ribosomal RNA
Rfam family: Bacterial small subunit ribosomal RNA
Source: RNAcentral
CCUACGGGAGGCAGCAGUGAGGAAUAUUGGUCAAUGGGCUUACGCCUGAACCAGCCAAGUCGCGUGAGGGAAGACUGCCCUAUGGGUUGUAAACCUCUUUUGUCAGGGAGCAACGCCGGCCACGUGUAGCCGGACUGAGAGUACCUGAAGAAAAAGCAUCGGCUAACUCCGUGCCAGCAGCCGCGGUAAUACGGAGGAUGCGAGCGUUAUCCGGAUUUAUUGGGUUUAAAGGGUGCGUAGGCGGAAGGUUAAGUCAGCGGUAAAAUGUCGGUGCUCAACACCGGCCUGCCGUUGAAACUGGUCUUCUUGAGUGAGCGAGAAGUAUGCGGAAUGCGUGGUGUAGCGGUGAAAUGCAUAGAUAUCACGCAGAACUCCGAUUGCGAAGGCAGCAUACCGGCGCUCAACUGACGCUGAGGCACGAAAGCGUGGGGAUUGAACAGGAUUAGAUACCCCAGUAGUC